CAUAUUCUCUAAGGAGGAAAGCAGGGGAUCGAAAGACCUUGUGCUUUUGGAGCGGCCGAUGUCUGAUUAGCUAGUUGGUGGGGUAAAGGCCUACCAAGGCUUCGAUCAGUAGUUGGUCUGAGAGGACGACCAGCCACACUGGGACUGAGACACGGCCCAGACUCCUACGGGAGGCAGCAGUGGGGAAUUUUGGACAAUGGGCGCAAGCCUGAUCCAGCCAUGCCGCGUGAGUGAAGAAGGCCUUCGGGUUGUAAAGCUCUUUCAGUYGGGAAGAAAAGGUUGUGACUAAUAAUUGUAACUUAU
Molecule: ribosomal RNA, 303 nt
Filed under: uncultured beta proteobacterium
Lineage: Bacteria; Pseudomonadati; Pseudomonadota; Betaproteobacteria
Description: bacterial SSU rRNA
Rfam family: Bacterial small subunit ribosomal RNA
Source: RNAcentral